UACGGAGGGUGCAAGCGUUAAUCGGAAUUACUGGGCGUAAAGCGUGCGCAGGCGGUUAUGCAAGACAGAGGUGAAAUCCCCGGGCUCAACCUGGGAACUGCCUUUGUGACUGCAUAGCUAGAGUACGGUAGAGGGGGAUGGAAUUCCGCGUGUAGCAGUGAAAUGCGUAGAUAUGCGGAGGAACACCGAUGGCGAAGGCAAUCCCCUGGACCUGUACUGACGCUCAUGCACGAAAGCGUGGGGAGCAAACAGG
This 253-nucleotide ribosomal RNA is filed under the name uncultured bacterium. Its description in RNAcentral is "partial 16S ribosomal RNA". It matches the Rfam family "Bacterial small subunit ribosomal RNA", at positions 524 to 776 of the family's 1533-position model. The record is from RNAcentral.